ACUGACGACAGGGGUGGGUGAGAACCAAAUUCAGACCGGGAGAUUAAAACGUAUCCAGUCCAUCCAAAAAAAGUACGUAUACUUUUAGUACGUUUACUGAAGUAAGUACGUUUAGUAAGUAUUAGUAUAGUAAUAAGGUAUUGAGUAGUAUGUAGAGAGAUGAUUUUUUGAUUUUUACUAGGAGUUUUCUCAAUAAAUGGGAAAAACCGGCAAAAAACAUGGGGAAACCAUAAGAAAAACGGGAAAAUAGGUACAAUAUUAAACAAAUAUUAUUAAAGAAAAUAUAUAAAGCCUAUUUAAUUAUUUUACUAUUAUAUAACAUACAUAUUGUUGAAAAAGCAUCACUAUCAACUGAACUCCGCUCAGAAUCGUUUUUGCAAUGGUUUAUCGUUGCUUACAGAUAUACAUUAAAUUACCUAAAACAGUGGUUGCACACGUCCCCAUUAUCCUAAGACGUCUUUUUUUUUUCUUGUACAAUUAAUCGAUUCUGUCCUGCGAUUCGUGAUGUUAUCAUCAUUAUCAUAGUUAUUAAAAGUGCGAUUCAUCUCCUUUUUAUUUUUGUCAUCGGCCCACGUCAUAGACCCAGAGCAUUUAUUUCGUUCGCCAUUCUCUCCACAUGAGUCUAUACACUAACUAAAGUCGUUUCGAUCGUUCGACAACAUAAUAACAACAUAUAUUAUGUAUACAGGUAUACGUAUUUUUUUCCACUCGACCCUAUCAAUACCCGCCGUCGUUGAAAAUAGCCGUUUCGGUUUGUCUCUUCCGGAAUUGAUUUUUUUAAGAUCGGGUUCGAUUAUUGCAGCGGCAGCAACAGCAGCGGCGGGCGGUUAUUCUCAUCUAUAACGUCCGCGUAUCGCACGCUUCCAAUCUAUUUUCUCGUCGUCGUUGUUGUUGUCUCGAAAUCGUUUUCCAUAUUAUUAUUAUUAUUAUUAUUAUUAUAUCGAUUCCUCCGCGUGUAAAUACUCCCAAGACACAUUUCUCCGCCGCGGGUUUACCUGCAAAGCCGGUGUCACGCAUCCCACGUAAUGUUCUCAUUAUUAUAGCGUCGUCGAUUAUCUUAUUGCGUUUUCCUUUUUUUAUUUUUAUCGGUUUUUUUAAAAAAAAAUCUUCCGGACACGUUGGUUUCUCGCCAAAACGUUUAACUAUAAUAGUCGUAAAUAAACAUAUAAACAAAAAAUGUAUAACUAUUAUACACGUAAUGAUAUUCCUUUAUAGGCAGUAUUACGCGUGAUACGAGGAGCGCUCGAGUUUAAGUAAAUUUUUUAUUUUCCUCGUGUUUGGUGCAGUUGAUACAGUGCGAUGACUAUAUACAAACCGGGAAGCGUUUUGAAUAUUUGUGAUACAUAUACGUUAAUACACGUCUUCAUACAAAUGUAAGCACCGAAAAUAUGUAUAUUGAUAUCAGGGUUAACUACGGUUUUGGUAUACGGUACCUAUAUAGAAAUUAUUUCCUUAGAUAUUUUCGAUGAAAAAUUGAUUAUAUUUUCACUUUUUUCACCUCUGAUUUUAUACAGUUUGAAUUCUACUAGUUUCUGUGAAAAAGAUUAUGUAAAAAAUAAUCACUGCGAUACCCUCCGAUAAUGUAUCUACUUCUAUUUGAACUGCUAACAGGUCCGAUUUAGUUUUUAAACUUACUGUGUGUUUUUCAUACGCGAUAUACCCGAAUGAAAAAUUUGAAAAUAGUAAAACUUAAAUGAUACAUUUUCGUGACAAUCUUUUUAUUUCCUUUUUGUUAUCAUUUGUAUUAACGAGAAAUUUGAAUCGUUCAACGUUAUGAAACAAAUCAAUUGUAUAUGGAAAAAUUAAAUACACUUCCUCAAAAUAGACAAUUUAGUAUAAAUCAUCGAUUUAAAAUAUAAUAGUCCUAAACAUGUAUUUCUGUUUCAUUCUUAUAACUUUCCUUUAUCUACCCAAAAAUUGUAUCAAUAUUCGAUAUCCAACCACAGUUCUACACAAUAUGUCUAGCCCGUAGUAUUUCCCUUCAUCCUUUUCAAUUAUAUUAUUGUAUAGCUACAGUGUACUUGGGAUAUUGUAUUGAACACACUUUUUCUUAGUUCCCCUGUGGUUUAAAAUCAAUUAUCUAUCCUUUUCCAUUCAAUUCUUAUAUAUUUUUCAUUCCGACCUAUAUUCUCACCUCAAGCUUCGCUCGACCAAUAUUGUUAACUUUCUUUAAUACUUAAUAUAGCUGUUCUCUUUCAAAAUGUUUUAUUAAUGAUUUUUUUUUUCUACUUUACUCGUCUUAAAAUUAAAAAAAAAAAAAUAAUAAUAAUAAUAAUAAAUAAAAAAUCGUGAGUAUUUUAUGUAGAUAACCUUUAAAGAAGAGUAAAAUCAAACACUUAUCUAUGAAAAUGUAGUGAUAUAUUUCAUAAAAAAAUUCAAUUUACGUAAAAAAUAAAUUUGAAAUUAUAACGUUUGUUAUAGUCUAAUGCGUUAUUGAAAUGUUCACUGUUUUACGAGCUAAUUCAAGUAUAGACGUUUUCGAGAAAAAUACAGUAUGUCGUGUGACCAUUUUUUUUUGUCCUUAACUAUUCGACAAUGUAUCCUAAAAGUUCUGAAACUUUCGCAUGAACGGACAAACGAUACGUGCUCGGCGUAUUUUCCGACGAAAUAAAAUAGAAAUCUCUGCUUAUAUAUAUAUAUAUAUAUAUAUAUAUAUAUAUAUAUAUAUAUAUAUAUGUAGCUCUAUAUGUAUAUACAUAUACUAAUAAUCGAUUGUUUAGAAAUAAUAAUUCAAACAUCCGUUUUAUUGAAACCGUUAGACCAGAAUAAUCUCUGGUAUCGUUAGGCGUUUAACUAAUUUUGUAAAGCAUUCAUAUUCAUAUGAGCUUGUUUCGUCUAUAUUAUUGGAAUUCGUAUUAAAAAAAAAUAAAAAUAUAAAAAAAAUUAAGGACAGUCAUAAUUUGCACAUGGGUGCAGGGAAUGUUUUAGAUGGGAAGCUGGGAAGGUAGGAUAUAGACGGGAAUUUAAUAUAUAUUUAUAAGCAACGAGACACCAUUACUAACGAAAAGCGAUUUUGAGCGGAGUUCAGUUGAUAGUGGUUACUUUGUCAACAAUAUAAUAUAUGUCAUAUUAUGGUAAAAUGAUUACUACAAUAUACAUUUCCAUCACAACGAUUGUUUAAAAAUAUUAAAAUAAUAAAAACUUAAUUAUAACAAAUAAAUAAAUACAAACGGUUGCUAAUGAGAACCUUAUUUUUAAUCUAUCAAUCUUUUUUAACCUAAAAAACCUAGUUUUCUUCAUUAUCUCGAAUGUAAAUGAGAAUUUCAAAAAAUGACUUCUUUAAAAUACCACCCAAAGAAUAAUUCUUUUCAGACAAAGUGCUAUACUUGAUCGGUAAAAAUAAAAAAUAAAAAUAAAAUGUAUAAACGAACAUUGUACCAAUCAUGUGGUUACACUUUGGCAACUAAAUCCAAGUGAAUUACACUAUAUUAUAUGUACAGUAAUCGUUUAUAUUAAUUAACUAUUUUAAUACAGGUUUAUUGGUUUUUAUUAAAUUUUAAUUACUGGUCACUUUAUUUGUUAUGUUUUUUUAAUUUGACGUUAUCUGAUGUUGAUUACUAUGUGUGAUUUUUUUUUAUCAGAAAAAAAUUUGAUUUGUAAAAAUGUUUGGCUUUGUUCAUGUCAUACCUUAAAUAUAUGGAUUGUUCACCUGAUACUAAUUAUUUAAACAAUAUUUUAAAAUUCACAAUAAUUUUUCUGAAAAUUGAUUUUUAUAGUUUUUUUUUUUUUUUUUUUUUUUGCAUGCAAUGAUUUGUUCACUGAAGAUAGAAAUUAAACCAGUGGUAUUUUAUAUGAAACAUUUUUUGAAAUUUUCAGCAAUAUUCUCCCUAGGUUCUUGGCCAGAAACACAAUUAUAAUAAUACUUGUACUACGUACCUACUUUAAUAAGAAUUUUUUUUUUUUUUUUGCAUGCAAUGAUUUGUUCACUGAAGAUAGAAAUUAAACCAAAUCGUCCUAUAUAUAUAUAUAGAUAUAUACAUAUAUAUAUAUAUAUACAUAUCGUAUCUUCCCGAUUGAAAAAAUUAAAAACAAUAUAUUGAUGUUAUAAUGCAUUUGUGUAAUUUAUUGUCAAUGCCAUAACUUAUAUUGCCUAACAAAUAUUUUUCCAAUUCGUAUUAUGUCUCAUCAAGUUGGUAUCAGGAUGUUUAAUCGAAUAAUCGAAUAAGUCAGAGAUUAUUUAUUAUGGACUCAGAAUAUAUUAUAAUAUAUUUACUAAACUUUUUGAAAAAAAAAAAAAAAAAACUUGUACUAAUUUAAACAUUAAUUUGUUUUAUUUAAUCUUACUCAAAAAAAAUUCAAUUAUAAAAUGGCAAACAUCACAAAUUAUACUAUGUAGGUAAUUAAAUUAUUAUUUUAAUUUAGAAAAUAAGGCGUCUUACUUGUAAAAAAUGUCUAUUUAAAUAUGAAUAAUGGAAGAUGUAGAGUAUAUUCGUGAAACUUGCCGUGUUUUAUCCUCAGAUAAUACUUAUAUAAAGAUAAUUUAUGUCCAGGACAUUUAAAGAAUUAAUUUGUUCGUGUGUUGAAAAUUAAAAACUAAAUAAAAUGUAUUAUUAAUUAUAAUAUAAUCUAAUGCAAUAAAUAAUAAAAGGAUAUCGAUGUGUACUCAAAUGAUUAAUACAGUUUAACCAAUUUAUUUACAAUUAAAAUAAUCUAUUUCUUUCACUUAUAAUUAUUUUACUAUUAUAAUACUCUCACGUAGUUUGAAAUUUUGAGUUUAAUGAAGAAUGUGUUGGUUUUACUAUGAUGUUUAUUUUAAUCCUUUUUUUAAGUGAACAAGAAAGUUUACUAGAAAGCUUUCUCCGAUUAUCAAGUAUAGCACUUUGUUUAAAACGAAAUAUUCUUUGGGAAGUACUUUAGAAAAGUAAUUUUUUGAAAUUUUUAUUAAUAUUCGAGAUAUUGAGGAAAACCUGAUUCUUUAGAUUAAAAAAGAUUGAUAGAUUAAAAAUAAGGUCUCAUUAGAAAUUGUUUUUUUUUUUUUUUUUUUUAUUAUAAUUAAGUUUUUAUUAUUUUAAUCUUUUUUAAACAAUCGUUGUUAUGGAAAUGUAUAUUGUAGUAAUCAUUUUACCAUAAUAUAACAUAUAUAUUAUUGUUAAAGCAACACUAUCAAUUGAAUCCCGCUCAGAGUCGUUUUUUCGUUAGCAAUAGUUUAUUGUUGCUUACAGAUAUACAGUAAAUUCCCGUCUGAACCCUAUCUUCUCAACUUCCCACACACAACAAUGGCUUCACCCACAUGUGAGUUAUGUUCAUUUUAAUGGGUUCCCUUGACAACAAGGAAAAACACGAUAAAUAUAACUUAGCUCAAAAUUGUUUUUUUUGUUUGCAAUGAUUUAUCAAAACUUACAGAAUGUUAAGUUAACUACUCUGUAUAUCCUAUAUUUUUAAAUAUCGACCCAUAAUCGCGCCAACCAGUAAUCAGUAUCAACAUUAUUUAUUUUUUUCGCCUAUUUAAAUUCACGAUUUUACCGUAUUAUAGUGAUCUCUAUAGUGAAUUACCUACAUAUAUACUAAAGCAAUGUUGUAUUCUAUCUAGAUGAAUCAUUUAGAUAAUUUCCCGAUAAAAAUCUAGAUUUACCAAGAUAAAUUAUUUUAAAUCGUUUAAAUUAGAAAUAAAGAUCAAAAUAUCAAAUACAUUAUUAUGGUUAAGUAAAUUAAUCAUUAAGUUUCACACAACAUUUAUUUGAAUUCCAAAUUUAUUUAUAUAAAAACUAAAUCUGGUAGACUUUUAUUAUUUUCAACACUUUAGUAAGUAUUUAGUGAAAAAAUUUAUAUUUUUUUAUCUAGAUAAAUAAUCCUAAUCAGUUAUCAUUGUCUAAAUAGUUAAAUUGUUUUAUAAAUUGUAUCUUAAUCAAGGUAAUUAUUCUAGGAAUUAUCUCUUAUCUUUAUUUAGACUUUUAAAAAUGCAUAUUUAUACAACAACCUAAUAAUAUUAUUACGUUUACGUUUAAAACGUUAAUCUUGUAAUAAUUAUUAUAAUAUAUAUAUAUAUAUACGGACAGAAAAAUAACGCAUUGUAGUUCGUUAUAAAUAUAGAACUACGUUAGUGAAAUUGACACUUUAAUUUGCCACCAUUGGUGUGAUAGCUAUCAUUUAUUAUUGGACUUUUCGCUCAGAACUAAAUUUAUUGUUUAUUGCUUUAAAUGUAUAACUAUCACAGAUAAUAGUACUUAAUACGAUUAAGAAGCUAUUCAUAGGAACAAUAUAGCAAAUAGUAAUUUUGAUUCGAUGUACUGAAACUAAUCAAGACAUUUUCAAUUCCAAGUUUAAUAAUGGUAUGUUCAUAUUGUUUUGCUGUAAUUAUACCUGUAAUAGAAAAAACGAUUUUUAAUUAUUUUUUCAUUUUAGCAUGCUUUAACAGUAUGUUAAAUUACUAAAUUUACUUUUUUCAUCAAGUUCUUUAGUUGUUCGUAAACAGUUAGUGUUUGUGACCAUGUUUUAAUAAUAUUCGAUAACAAACUAUGAAAUAUAUAUAUUUUUUUAAUGAGUAUUUUGAUUAAAUUCGAUUAUCGCUUUUUCGAAAAUUGUUUUACUUAAAUAAUAUUAUUAUAACUUCGCAAUUAGUAGGUAUCACUUCGAGUUUUGGAGUACUUGCAUAUUUUUGUCACUGAAAUGCGACAUGGUAGAUAAUUCGGAUAACCUAAUUUACCCUAGUACAAAUUAUGAUAAAACUUCAAUUAAUGGAGAUAACCGAAACAACAAAUACAAAUUUUAGUAAAAAAUCGUAAUAUAAACUGGAAAUUUACUAGUAGAAUUAACUGGUGAAUAACUCGAAGUAUAAUUCUUCUCCAGCCUCCUCGUGUUCAUUCCACAAGAGCUACUCUUGUUUUCACCCUAUCCGUAUCCUUUUAUACAAUAUCCAGUCACCUUAUUAGUCUAUUUUAAACGCUUUCACAAUUAUCUCUUUAGAUAUCUAAUAACCUCUAGAUAAUUUUUCUUCAUUCCACACUCAACUUAUAAAUACCUUUAUUUUUUUGCUAAACGUUUGUUCUUCUCUUGACAUUCCAGUAUACCGUUUUAAUAGGCUUUCAGUGUUUCUGUGUAGAACUCGCUAUAGUCACUACUCAUAUGGAGACUUCCUCUCAGAGUAAUUUUUUUAUUCGUCCCGAUGAUCGGAACGAUACAACGGACGGGGUUUAGAUCCCCGUGUCGACCACACCACCGCCUGCCCGUAUGAUGGAUGAGCCAAAUCGUGUCCGUCCACUUAGCAUAGAAAUGUCGACGUCACCAUCACACUAUUUCCGACCCGACUCAUUUAUAACGGCUGUACACUGUUACUACACUCGAGUGCGUGAAUGCAUGUAUUAUUACAACAUCCCGUUGCAGCAUCCGUACAGACAGUAUUGGUACGAUUGUAUAGUGUGGCGUGUGUGUAUAGUGGAGAAAAGUUUUGGAAAUAUGUCAUCGAGACAUGUAAUUUCCCGAACGAAAAUCUCAUGGGGGUCGAUAUUGUAAUAUACAGGUUCCGUAUUAUAGUUUAGCAAACCUAUAAUUUUAACGAAAAAUUUAAGCUUCCCUAUACAAAGUGCAUAACCAUUGUUUUGCAUUAAAGAUAUACAUUUUUAAAUAAUAUCAAUAAAAAUUAGAGAUAAUAUUUUAUAGAAUAUUUUUUUUUUUUUAGGGAUUCUAAACUUAUGAGGUCAAAGACUUUCUUUCGUACUAUUCUUUCAUACUCUCUACAAUAAGAUUAAAGUAUUUUUAAUAUAUGUUAUAUUGUAUAUAUGUAUAUAUGUAUAUAUGUAAUAAAUGGCAUUUUAAUCCACCUUGGGUCCCACAUUUCGGUGAAUCGUGAGUGGCUGCGGUUCGUUCCACCAAGACAUUAAUGGUGCGUAUCACGGGAGAAAAGGUCCUAACCCUCGAAGAGUUCAAAACGCUUCUGCGUCGUAUCGAGGUUAUUUUUAACUGUCGUUCCCUUACCCCAGCGUCGACCGAUCUUGCAGAUUUGAGUUGUUUGACAUCAGGACAUUUUCUGAUCGGUCAUCCUCCAAUCGCAGUCGACAUUAUAUAUAUAUAUAUAUAUGUAUAUAAAUCUUCAAUUUAGUUUUGUUUGAAUAUUAAAUGAGUUUUCUUAUUUACAUAAAAAGAAAAAAGAAAAUGUAAGGUUAACAAUUAAAUAUAACUUUACGAAAUUACACAAUAAUGGUCGAUAAAUUUUAUCGGAUAAAAUAUAAAUAACCGAAAAAAAAACUGAUACUGAGGAUGGAAACGGCCACUGUUUUAGGAGAAAAUUUGGGUAGGUAGGAUACAUAGGGUUAUUUUAUUUAUAUUUGUAAGUAACGAUAAACAAUUGCUUGACGACUAACGAUUCCGAGCGCAGUUCUGUAACACAUAAUUUGAAGUUCUGUGAUUUUUUUUGCAAUUUUCUUUCAAAUUAAAUUUCAAAACGCUUAUUGAAAAAAAAAAAAAGUCGUCCGAUUAUUCUAGAAAUUUCACCACGUCUAGGAAAGACCAAUAUUAGUAUUAUUACAAAGUUAAACGAAUUAAAGCAAAAAAACUCCCAACAGUUUAAAUUCCUAAAAAGCUCAAAAGAGGCUCAAAAUUUUGGCGAUGAUAUCGUAAGAAAGUAAUUAAAAAAGGUAAAACAAAAAUGUAUCUUGUAAUUUGUCGAUUAAAUCAUUUUUUGUGAUGGUAAACGUUGUCUGUGUAUUUAUAAAAUUAUGAAAUCGUAAAAUUGUAUGUUUUCCUAUGUUUUUUCCCAUUUAUGUGCUUUUAUUUAAAAAAUGACGUGGAAAAUCAAUAAAUUAACUCUUUAAUGUACCAAGCUUAUAGUACUUGAGCUUUCAGAAAAGUUUCUACACGUAAAAGAGUAUCUUUACUAGGAAAAAACGUGUCUACAGACUAGAAGAAAAGAAAAGAAAGAAGAGAGAAAUAAACAGCAUUGUAAAACGAAUAGCUUCCUCCCUAUACCCUGAAUCUAAAAUAACGUUUUCUUUUUUUGUGAUUUUUUAAAAUUUCCAUGCCUCCUUAGGGGGAGCACCCCCUUCAGGUUGACUACCCUUGAUAUAGUUGAUGAUAAAAAUACAAACAAUUUAAUAUUUAGAUAAAUAAAAUAUGAAAAAUAAAUAAUUGAUACAUUUUUAGCUAGAAAUAAAAAAAAACUGAUUUUCGUUUAUUACUUAUCUAAUUUAUCAUAUAACUUAGUAAUAAAAGUAGUAAAAGUGUAACAGAUAUGGUAAAAGUCUAGGCUUUAUAAAAGUUGUGUGAUUUACGUGUCAUAAUAAUUAAUUCAUAGGACCAUAUGAAUAUGAAUUGAAUAUUUUACCUAAUAAGUCUAACAAAUUUAUAAAUUACGAUUUGAUACGAUUUAUGCGGAUGAAUUUAGAUUUAGAUGUGCCAUUUUCUAUCAAAAAUUACAGCUAAGAUAACUUAUUCCAAAUUUAACUGGAUAAGAAUAUAAGAUAAGAGAUUAAUUUAAUAUACGAAAGUCGAAUGUCAACUACACCGACAUCUUUGUAAUUGUAUAAUUAUUAAUUUUUACCUAUUCGGAAUAUAGUUACACAAUAAUUGUUUAGUUUUCUACCAUAUUUGUGAGUUAAAAUUUAAGAUUUAAUUGUACUCUUAGUAUUUCAUCGCAUUAUUAUAAUGACAAAAUUGUUUUUAUGACGUGCUUGAUGGCUUUGCAUGAAAUUACACGAAAUUAUUGAAAAUAGUACCUAAUCAUUGAAAAGUGAAUAUCUUAUUUUGCUCUCGCGAGAUGAAGUAUUGUGCUGGAAAAAGGCGAUUAAUUUUACAGCAACAAAUGGAAAACCCUGUUUAAGAUGCAAUGGCUGUUUGGUACGAACGUACUGAUUUCCGAAUGAUCAUUGUCAUCGUUAAGAAUCGCAUGAACACUACGUCGUUUAUUCAGUUGAGCAACUUUUUAGAUUUAUCACGCGGUCGAGUCAUUUGCCAUUUCUAAUGAUUAUCAUAUUUUGACGCAUUGCACUAAUGAGCGUACAGAGAUUGGCGAGGGGAGAAAUCCGGAUCAGAGGACAAAAAUUCGAUAAAUAAAUACCGAAAAUUAAAUUCAGACCUUUUUCUUUAAAAUCUAUAAAACGGAUAUUAAUAUUUUGAUUUUAAAUUAUUUUAUACGGGUGAUUUAUAAUAAAAUCAUAAUAUUAAAGGACAUUAUUUUCAAAAUAAAUCAAAUAUAUUAAAUAUACACAAAUAAAUAUCGCAAUUUGUUCUAUUACGUAGGAAUUCUUUUCGUUUUUAAAAGUUUUUCUUAAGCCUUUUUUUAUCUUUUAGGGACCCGGAAAACCAGGAUUUUAGUCCUCUUAGCCCCUCCCAAAGUAUUCAACUCUGACCACUGAUAAACAUUAAUUGUAAUUAUGAUUAAAAGAAUACAAUAUAUUUUUUCCCAUUUUUUUUUUUUUCGUAAUCAAUACAUGACAGAAACAAUAUUUUUAGAUACACCGUAAACACGGACCAUUAAAAAACUGAAAAAAAAAACAUUGUCAAUAUCGCGUGAUACUGAUUUAAGUGAUAUUUUUUUUUUUCGACGAAAUGGUUUUUAUUUUUCCACUUUACAAUCUAUUUUCGACUUUCGUGUUGUGGUAUAUCUAGUGAAGUUUUCUGUUAGCCAGUAAGUUAAUAACUGCAGAAAGUUCUAAACAUCUCAAAAACAAAUUUAUGCACCCCUCAAACUGCUUUCGACGUAGAUAACAUAAAACUCGGUAACUGAAAUUUGUCGAUAACUAACUUAAAUGACAAACAUAAUAAUAUAUACUUGUUGAUAAUCUCGAGCAUAAAUAUUAUUAACAUCAUAUAUACAGAGAACAAUCUUAUAGCACAAAGAAUGCAAUACGUAAGAUAAUAUGGUAAUUUUCGUUAAUAAUAAGUAGCCGAAUUUAUAUUAAAUAUUUUAAAAUAAUUUAUUUUGUUUUACGAACUAUUAACGGUGCGAUUAUUCAAAACAAUAUUAUGUUGAUUUCAACAUUUUACUAAGAGGAAAAAGAUCAUUUAGUAUUUACUUCGCGAUUCCUGUUUUCAAAAAAAAAAAAAAAAAAUUUUUUCUACUAAACGUAAGCAAAAAUGGAACUGUUCGGCAGUUAGAUUAAAAUGAACAUAUUUCGUAUUCCACGGCGAAUAUUAUCUAUGACAAAUAGUGAUAAUACGUACUGAUAUACACGUGUCACUAUACAAUAACACGAGUUUUACAAUUCUACCGGUGAAUUAUCUGACAAUGUCUGGAUGUUUUAUAAUUGUACGCUAAACUCGAAUCCGAUGUUCGCGAAAACACCGUGCUAUACGCAGUGUACGGCUGUUUUACCCGAGCUACCGUCAUAAAGUUCAUUUAACGAACGACUCUGCCGUUUUGUUAUCCGAUCAUAAGAACAAAUCGGGCCCGAGCCGACGGUGACGGUUAUUUAUGUGGAGCGUAUAAAAUAAAAUAAAAUGUUUACCGCAUCCUAUGCGAGUCAUUAAGUAUAAUCAAACCGUAUAAAUGCAUAGAAUAUCUAAUUCGAUGAAAAAUUCAACGAAAUCUCGACCAAUUAUUUUUAGAACACGCUAACGAAAUAAUGUCAUUUAUAGAAUACAUAUAGGUACCUACUGCUUAAUGUGGUGUUUGUUUAAUUUACGUGCAGUGUGCACUGUCUUAUUUGGCAUAAGCGAAUAAAUUGUAUUUACUCAUCAAACGGAAAAAAAAAAACCGUAUUAUGAUUGUACGCUCUAGAUGUUAAUUCAAUCGUAAGUAGAUUGACCCAUAUCUUUUAAAAGUUUGAAAAAUAUCAUCGAAGGUUUUCAUAAUGAAUAUUUAUUUUUAAUGGAUAUUUUAAUCUAAAUAUUAAGAAAUUAAACAUUAACAAACAUUGUUUUCGUUUUUUUUUUUUUCAAUUGCAGGUGAAAACUCGAGAGGUUUUCAAAUUUAUUUACCAAUAAUAUUGUAUUUCAGUUCGAGAAAUUGUCCGACAUGAAUUAAUAAAAUUGUACUCGAUAAACCGUUAUUCUGAAGUACUGAAUUAUUCUAGGCUGGAAACAAAAAAAUAAUAAGCUGAUUAUUCGACAUUUAAAUCAUAUCAGAGUUAGUUGUCCAUGUUAUAUCGUUUUUAAAAUUAUGCGGGGAAUAUAAAGAACGUUAGAAUUUUCGGGCGUGAAAAUGAUAAGAAAAAUCCCGAAAAAUUAUUUCGCCCUUCAAAAACAUCGCCUUACAUAUUUUUUAUGCCCGAGUUCAUGUACUAAUAUAAUAUAAUGUUUUAUAAUUUCGCGUUGGGAAGUGUAGUCUUAAAAAACUCAUUUUUCAUUCGGUACGAAAUUUAUAUCUCCGUAGAACAUUGAAAAAAAAAAUUAUUUAAAACCUAGUCGAAUAAAAAAUAUAUCCAUAUUUUAAAUUUCGACACAAUAGUUGCGUAGAUCGCGAUAGCGCUAUAUAUUUCUUUUUAUUUUCAAAGGAAGUAAAAUGAUAAGAAAAUUCAUUAUUUUUUUUAUUUUUUUAAUAGAAUUUCAUUUUAAAGGGGAUAUUUUUUAAAGGGUGAAUUUACAAUAUCAAUUGUCUCGUUCAGUGAUUACAAUGUACGGAAUAUGUAGAAAGCCUUCGUCCAUACAUAAUUGUAUUGUAGAUUAUGGAACCGCGUAACCGUUUUUUUAUGUAGUUAUUCGAAUACAUAGGUUAUGUAUAAAUUUAUUUAUUUUUUUGUUAUAAACUAUUUUUUUGGAAUUCGUAAUAUAUGUAAAUGACAUAUUGUAAGUUAUUUAUCCUUUUGCAUUUCAAACAAAAUGUUUACAUUAUGAAAAAUAUUUCAUUUUUUUUUUUUUAUUAUUAGUGGAGAUGCGUUUUAUUUGUAUUACACUUACAGCGUACAGGUGUACACGCGUCCUGCUACAAAAGCCUUUACAAAUAAACGCCCAUAUAAACGCGUAUCGCAUAUCGCUAAUCGGAUAAUAAUAUACACAUUAAUAAAUUACACCUACCCUAUGUAACCGGUAUAACAAUCAAGAUUAAACUGAUAUUAUAAAAAGAAACUUUAGUUUGUACUCAGUAACACACAAGUGACUCGGUAUUCAAGUACAAAAUUUUUAAACCAUCUUUUUUUCUAAAUCUAAAACUGUGUCGGUAAAUAUUUUAGACGCGCCGCAAGCAGACACGUCUGUACGCUACCGAUUACGUAGUUUUGUUAGUGAAUUCGAAAAACAUUUAAUAUUUUCUGGUAACGGCGAAUUAUUUGUUUUGUUUUGUUUUUUUAAAGUAAUUCGUUAGGUCAUCGAAAUCCAAUAUUUAGUUAUAAGUGUACACACAUAUAUUUAAGUAAUAGUAUAAUUUCAUCAAGUGCCCAUACUUAUGACUAUUCAAACGUCGGUGAUGUUAAUAAAUAAGAGUUUUCCACUCGCUUAUUGUUGCGUUUUAUAUAUGCCAACAAUAAUAAUUUAAAAUAAUUAUAAUAAUAUUAUAUAUGUCACGCUCAUGUUCGUGACUUUUAAUACAGUUAAAAAAAAUAACUGGCUAUGCGAAUGCACUAUAAUGUUACCCUUAUAAAUAAUUCUCCUCAAACUUUGUAAUAUAAUAUAAUAUAGUUAUAACGGAGCCGACCGUGUUUAGGAAACAUAGACAAUUUGAAAUUUUCGGUUUCUUUUUUUCAGUUUCUACUAAAAUAAACAAUUCAGUACUACAUUAAAAAUACAACAAAAGAAAGGUUGCUGUUUUUCUAUUUGAGCAAUAUUUAUGGUAGAAAACAAUAGCCGUGACAAUUUUAAAUGAUGGAAUCAUCGUGCCGUAGUUUGAAAGAGCCGUAUUUUUCUAGAGGAUUCUAAGUGAAUUUGAUUUCUGUUUUUUCUAAUCAUUAUGGAAUCGUUUAAGCUUUAUUUUAAAACCAUUUUUAAUUUUUACUUCUACUCUAUACACCUUAAAUAAAAAAUACUUUUGAUUUUCAAAUAGAAACUCCUCUUUUGAACACAGAUUUGAAUAUAUAAUAUUUUUCCAGAAAUUUUGAUAUGCAUAACACUGAUAUAAAAUUUACCAUUUAUGAAAUAUAAUAGUUUAAACUUUAGACCAGAGGAGUAGGGAAGAGUAAUACAUUUUAAAAUAAAGCCUAAACGAUUUAAUAAUGUUUGAAAAAACAAAUUAACUUAAAAAAACUCCGAGAUAGCUGGUUCAUGAUAAAAAAAAUCACCCUGUUUACAUUUUAUAUUUAUCCGGAAUACUCGCACAAUAAAUAUAACUUUCUUAUGUAUUAUUGAUGAUGCGGAUAAUAUUAUAAGUUUUAAGGUUCAAUAAUAUUACAUCCGGAGAAAAAAUCGAAACAAACAUCAUAACGAUCCAAUUAGUUCCACACGACAGAUACGGUUUUUAGACAAAUAAGUUAACAGUAAUAGUAUCGAUUAUAUUUUCAAUGGCGUGGGGGGGGGGGGGGGGGUAGGAGGAAACGAAAGAAGAUUGACAAUAGUAAAUGGACGUUAACGUUAUACUUUCCAGCACGAAGAUACAUUAAUAUUCUCUUCGGCGUUCAGACUAUAUAAUAUAGUAUGAUGAUAUUAUUCUUAAAAUGAUUUAUGUGUUGAAUGUAUUAAAUAUUUACGAACUCUUUAAUAAAAUGACGUUUGUUUAUUUGAAAAUAAUAAUAAAUGAACUAAGAAGUUAAUAAACGUUUUAAAUUUAAAUUAUCAUCACCAUUGGAUAACGUCAAUUUCUGUGCUAUUAAUUUUAAUAUUGGAAUAAAUUGCCGUAUUUUCAAACUUAAACGUGCAAAUAUUAUCAGCGUUUGUACGUUAAUAUAAUAUUAAUAUAACGAGACUAGACGUGAUUUCAAUUUAUAAGAGGGUGGCAUGUUGAAAAAUAUAUUUAACGAUUCCGUUAGCUAUAUAUGGUUUCGGAGAAAAAUGGCUCGAGUAAAUUUUCUAUAGUUUUUAAUAAAAAGAAAGAUUAAUUCAUUUUGAAAAUUGCUAAAUGACAAAAUAACAUAAUAAUUGCUAAACAACCUAACCUUAAUAUGACGUUCUAAUUGGUCUAAAUCAUUACAUGACAUGCCUUUUUUCUAAAAGUAUAUUAUAGUGACUUGAGCUAUUUUAAUUUUCAGUAAAACAUGACGUGUUUGAAUGGAUAAAAUAAUCUCGUACCGUGUAUACGUUAUAUAGAAAUAUUCAGAGAAACGCAAUCAUUUCCGGAAUAUGAAAUUAGAAACACAAAACACUAUCUACAGCAAAUGGUCUUGGAAUCUCGUCGUGAAUACGUUUACAACUCUAAGAAAAG
Cinara cedri is the source of this 15157-nucleotide non-coding RNA. NCBI's taxonomy places the organism in Eukaryota, Metazoa, Arthropoda, Insecta, Hemiptera, Aphididae. The record is from the annotation of a GenBank genome assembly.